This 443-nucleotide ribosomal RNA is filed under the name uncultured soil bacterium. RNAcentral's name for it is "bacterial SSU rRNA". It matches the Rfam family "Bacterial small subunit ribosomal RNA", at positions 26 to 518 of the family's 1533-position model. The record is from RNAcentral.
AGAACGAACGCUGGCGGCAGGCCUAACACAUGCAAGUCGAACGCCCCGCAAGGGGAGUGGCAGACGGGUGAGUAACACGUGGGAACGUGCCCAAAGGUACGGAACAACUCCGGGAAACUGGAGCUAAUACCGUAUGUGCCCGAAAGGGGAAAGAUUCAUCGCCUUUGGAUCGGCCCGCGUCUGAUUAGCUAGUUGGCGGGGUAAUGGCCCACCAAGGCGACGAUCAGUAGCUGGUCUGAGAGGAUGACCAGCCACACUGGGACUGAGACACGGCCCAGACUCCUACGGGAGGCAGCAGUGGGGGAUAUUGGACAAUGGGCGCAAGCCUGAUCCAGCCAUGCCGCGUGAGUGAUGAAGGCCUUAGGGUGUAAAGCUCUUUCGCCAGGGACGAUAAUGACGGUACCUGGAUAAGAAGCCCCGGCUAACUUCGUGCCAGCAGCCGC